UACGUAGGGUGCAAGCGUUGUCCGGAAUUAUUGGGCGUAAAGAGCUUGUAGGCGGUUUGUCGCGUCUGCUGUGAAAUUUCGGGGCUCAACCCCGAACUUGCAGUGGGUACGGGCAGACUAGAGUGUGGUAGGGGAGACUGGAAUUCCUGGUGUAGCGGUGAAAUGCGCAGAUAUCAGGAGGAACACCGAUGGCGAAGGCAGGUCUCUGGGCCAUAACUGACGCUGAGGAGCGAAAGCAUGGGGAGCGAACAGG
RNAcentral lists this ribosomal RNA (253 nucleotides) under uncultured bacterium. RNAcentral's name for it is "partial 16S ribosomal RNA". It matches the Rfam family "Bacterial small subunit ribosomal RNA", at positions 524 to 776 of the family's 1533-position model. The record is from RNAcentral.